CCUACGGGUGGCAGCAGUGGGGAAUAUUGGACAAUGGGGGGAACCCUGAUCCAGCCAUGCCGCGUGUGUGAAGAAGGCCCUCGGGUUGUAAAGCACUUUCAGUGAGGAAGAACGCCUGGUGGUUAAUACCCAUCAGGAAAGACAUCACUCACAGAAGAAGCACCGGCUAACUCCGUGCCAGCAGCCGCGGUAAUACGGAGGGUGCGAGCGUUAAUCGGAAUUACUGGGCGUAAAGCGCGCGUAGGUGGCUUGAUAAGCCGGUUGUGAAAGCCCCGGGCUCAACCUGGGAACGGCAUCCGGAACUGUCAAGCUAGAGUGCAGGAGAGGAAGGUAGAAUUCCCGGUGUAGCGGUGAAAUGCGUAGAGAUCGGGAGGAAUACCAGUGGCGAAGGCGACCUUCUGGACUGACACUGACACUGAGGUGCGAAAGCGUGGGUAGCAAACAGGAUUAGAUACCCGGGUAGUC
Molecule: ribosomal RNA, 465 nt
Filed under: Vreelandella stevensii
Lineage: Bacteria; Pseudomonadati; Pseudomonadota; Gammaproteobacteria; Oceanospirillales; Halomonadaceae
Description: partial 16S ribosomal RNA
Rfam family: Bacterial small subunit ribosomal RNA
Source: RNAcentral